CGGUAUUUUAACUGUACUAAGGUAGCAUAAUAAUUUGCCUUAUAAUUUGAGGCUAGAAUGAAUGGUUUGACGAAGGUUAAUCUGUCUCUAUCCUAUUUUGUAGAAUUUAAUUUUUAAAGUGAAAAAGCUUGUAUUUUUUAAAGGGACGAGAAGACCCUAUUGAGCUUAUAAUUUUACUGUUGUUUAUAAGUAUUUAUUUGAUGAUGGAUAAAUUUUAAUUGGGGUGAUUGAGGAAUAAAAUAUAUUAAAUAGUAACUUCCUUAGGUUAAAUGUUGUUGGAUAAAGUAACCAAUAUAUUAUUGCUUAUAAUAUAGUUACCAUAGGGAUAACAGCGUAAUUUAUUUAGAGAGUUCUUAUUGAAAAAUAAGAUUGCGACCUCGAUGUUGGAUUAAAGUAACCUUAAGGUGCAGAAGCUU
RNAcentral lists this ribosomal RNA (416 nucleotides) under Architeuthidae environmental sample cf. Architeuthis dux. RNAcentral describes it as "partial 16S ribosomal RNA". It matches the Rfam family "Bacterial large subunit ribosomal RNA", at positions 1934 to 2564 of the family's 2925-position model. The record is from RNAcentral. Lineage: Eukaryota; Metazoa; Mollusca; Cephalopoda; Oegopsida; Architeuthidae.